AGCGAACGCUGGCGGCAGGCCUAAUACAUGCAAGUCGAACGGCUCUUCGGAGCAGUGGCGGACGGGUGAGUAACGCGUGGGAACGUGCCCUUUGGUUCGGAACAACACAGGGAAACUUGUGCUAAUACCGAAUGUGCCCUUCGGGGGAAAGAUUUAUCGCCAUUGGAGCGGCCCGCGUUGGAUUAGCUAGUUGGUGGGGUAAAGGCCCACCAAGGCGACGAUCCAUAGCUGGUCUGAGAGGAUGAUCAGCCACACUGGGACUGAGACACGGCCCAGACUCCUACGGGAGGCAGCAGUAGGGAAUCUUGCGCAAUGGGCGAAAGCCUGACGCAGCCAUGCCGCGUGAAUGAUGAAGGUCUUAGGAUUGUAAAAUUCUUUCACCGGGGAAGAUAAUGACGGUACCCGGAGAAGAAGCCCCGGCUAACUUCGUGCCAGCAGCCGCGGUAAUACGAAGGGGGCUAGCGUUGCUCGGAAUUACUGGGCGUAAAGGGCGCGUAGGCGGACAGUUUAGUCAGAGGUGAAAGCCCAGGGCUCAACCUUGGAAUUGCCUUUGAUACUGGCUGUCUUGAGUUCGGGAGAGGUGAGUGGAAUGCCGAGUGUAGAGGUGAAAUUCGUAGAUAUUCGGCGGAACACCAGUGGCGAAGGCGACUCACUGGCCCGAUACUGACGCUGAGGC
RNAcentral lists this ribosomal RNA (676 nucleotides) under uncultured Alphaproteobacteria bacterium. RNAcentral describes it as "bacterial SSU rRNA". It matches the Rfam family "Bacterial small subunit ribosomal RNA", at positions 28 to 752 of the family's 1533-position model. The record is from RNAcentral. Lineage: Bacteria; Pseudomonadati; Pseudomonadota; Alphaproteobacteria.